AGCCGCGGUGAUACGGGGGGUGCGAGCGUUGUCCGGAUUUAUUGGGUUUAAAGGGUGCGUAGGCGGUCUGGUAAGUCGGUGGUGAAAGCCCGGGGCUCAACCCCGGAACUGCCAUCGAUACUGUCAGACUUGAGUACGGUUGAGGUUGGCGGAAUGGGCGGUGUAGCGGUGAAAUGCAUAGAUACCGUCCAGAACCCCGAUUGCGAAGGCAGCUGACUAAGCCGUAACUGACGCUGAGGCACGAAAGCGUGGGGAGCAAAC
Molecule: ribosomal RNA, 261 nt
Filed under: uncultured bacterium
Lineage: Bacteria
Description: partial 16S ribosomal RNA
Rfam family: Bacterial small subunit ribosomal RNA
Source: RNAcentral